CCAAUAGCGUAUAUUAAAGUUGUUGCAGUUAAAAAGCUCGUAGUUGAAUUUCGGGGUCAGCAGGUUGGUCGUGCCACUGGUAUGUACUGGCUUUGCUGAUUCCUCCUUCUUGUAGAACCGUAAUGCCAUUAAUUUGGUGUUGCGGGGAAACAGGACUGUUACUUUGAAAAAAUUAGAGUGUUUAAAGCAGGCUAACGCUUGAAUACAUUAGCAUGGAAUAAUGAAAUAGGACGAGCGAUCCUAUUUUGUUGGUUUCUAGGAUUGACGUAAUGAUUAAUAGGGAUAGUUGGGGGCAUUAGUAUUCAAUUGUCAGAGGUGAAAUUCUUGGAUUUAUUGAAGACUAACUACUGCGAAAGCAUUUGCCAAGGAUGUUUUCAUUAAUCAAGAACGAAAGUUAGGGGAUCGAAGACGAUCAGAUACCGUCGUAGUCUUAACCAUAAACUAUGCCGACUAGGGAUCGGAUGAUGUUAAUUUUAUAAUGACUCAUUCGGCGCCUUACG
This 500-nucleotide ribosomal RNA is filed under the name uncultured Glomeromycotina. RNAcentral's name for it is "partial small subunit ribosomal RNA". It matches the Rfam family "Eukaryotic small subunit ribosomal RNA", at positions 591 to 1092 of the family's 1831-position model. Lineage: Eukaryota; Fungi; Glomeromycota. The record is from RNAcentral.